Molecule: ribosomal RNA, 320 nt
Filed under: uncultured eukaryote
Lineage: Eukaryota
Description: partial 18S ribosomal RNA
Rfam family: Eukaryotic small subunit ribosomal RNA
Source: RNAcentral
CCCUUAGAUGUUCUGGGCUGCACGCGUGCUACACUGAUAUUGCCAAUAUGUCAUUCUUAUCCGAAAUGGAUUGGGUAAUCAAGUAAUGAAAUUUCAUGCUUGGAAUCGGUAAUUGCAAUUUUAUCGUGAACGAGGAAUUCCUAGUAAGCACAAGUCAUCAGCUUGUGUUGAUUACGUCCCUGCCCUUUGUACACACCGCCCGUCGCUCCUACCGAUUGAAUGUUCCGGUGAGCUCUUCGGACUGCGCGGUCUGCAGUUUCUGCGUUCCGUGCGGAAAGUUGUGCAAACCUUAACAUUUAGAGGAAGGAGAAGUCGUAACA